GGGAUCUGUUGCAAAGAUCUGGCAAGGCAGAGCAAAGCUAGAUUUCAGGAAGAAGAACCAGGCAAGUUCUAGCUGUGUCAGUAUCAGGAUGGUCUCUUGACUUGACAGCACUCAUCUGUUGUCUGUGCAUCUGUCUGGUCAAGGUUUUGAUUCCUUCAAGAUUGAAUCUGAUUGGCCUCGUGUAUGUCAUGCCCCGCCCUCUUGGCCAAUGGAAUGAGUCAGGCACUCUGAUUGGCAUUCUCUCUAGACCAUCCCACGAACCAAGGAUGAUCAUUUCCCCUGGACCUCUAAGAUUCUGUUUUUAGAAGAAAUUCUUGGAUUCCAGGCUGACAGAAUAUCACAGAUGUCUACUCCAGCAGAAGCAGUGCUGAAACCAGCGUGUGACAUAGAGUAAACUCU
RNAcentral lists this long non-coding RNA (399 nucleotides) under Bos taurus (domestic cattle). RNAcentral's name for it is "long non-coding RNA NONBTAT005819". The record is from RNAcentral. Lineage: Eukaryota; Metazoa; Chordata; Mammalia; Artiodactyla; Bovidae.